GUCGUCAUCUGUUGGUUAGAAACAUGUCGCAGGUUCUGCGUGUUCCCAGAGGGGGCGAUGAUGCAAGAAUGUGACUUGUGGGCCAGGGGGAGGGGUUCGUACUAAGGUGUAUCCGCCCUACCAGCAGCAGUCAGUAUUUAGUACCUGAAACUCGCUCUUCAAGGAUUUAAGUGACACCAGAGUUGGGAGCCAUGUCGCUGUGAAUGGAACAAGGUGGAAUUUCAAUAGGAAGACCUUCCAAAGGUGUGACAGUUCUCAAAGUUCAGACUGCGACACCUUAACUCCUGCAGAUUUUAGUCUCAGCCUUAGUUCACUGGUUUUCAUUUUGCUCGUGAUGAACUCUGAUUUUUCUUGAAUGAGCUAAUUUUUCUAAAAAGUCUUAAUUUUCUUUCCUUAUUACUCGCAUUACAAGAAAUAAAAUAGUGAAAUUGUUGGGAGGUCAAGAAACCUAGGAGUUGGAAGUGAUGCUCGAAUCUUGUAACCCCACCUGGUGGGGGUUUCUGUCACUGCAGGUGGUUUUAAUACAGACACAGCCCUAAACAUUUAAUUCAGAGUGACUGUUGAUUACUCCUAGGGUUGAACUCUGCGGGAUUGCUGGUGUCAGACAGCUUGUCUGCCGCUCUGUCAGACUUGCUGUUUUCUUGGUCGUACAUAUGGACAGUGCUUCACCAUGCGAAGGAGGGACGUGGCCAGACCCACAGUGUAACUGAACAUGUGGUGGGGGGGGCGCUUUGACAUACUUGCAAGAUUGGAGGGAAGCGUGGUUGCAGCAGCUCCAGAAACAGGGUUUGUUGUAGAACUCUAUCAGUGUGGGCCUGAGCAAUGUGCCACCGAAAUCACACACAUGUAAACACACAGGUUCUUUGGGGCUUUUGUUGGUGAUUUAUGGAAAGUCUGAUUGGGACUGUUUGUACAGCCAGCCAGUACUCUCUGUAGUUUUCUAGAAGAUACGCCAGUAUUCUAAUGAAACCAGCUAGGCAGUCUGGGAUUUCUGCAUAAAUAUCCCCGCCCAAUUUCUCUUGUCC
Phyllostomus discolor (pale spear-nosed bat) is the source of this 1025-nucleotide long non-coding RNA. RefSeq lists it as uncharacterized. The record is from RefSeq and is a predicted model, not a curated record. The transcript has 2 exons. NCBI's taxonomy places the organism in Eukaryota, Metazoa, Chordata, Mammalia, Chiroptera, Phyllostomidae.